UACGUAGGGUGCAAGCGUUGUCCGGAAUUAUUGGGCGUAAAGAGCUCGUAGGCGGCUUGUCACGUCGGCUGUGAAAACCCGGGGCUCAACCCCGGGCCUGCAGUCGAUACGGGCUAGCUAGAGUUCGGCAGGGGAGACUGGAAUUCCUGGUGUAGCGGUGAAAUGCGCAGAUAUCAGGAGGAACACCGGUGGCGAAGGCGGGUCUCUGAGCCGAUACUGACGCUGAGGAGCGAAAGCGUGGGGAGCGAACAGG
This 253-nucleotide ribosomal RNA is filed under the name uncultured bacterium. Its description in RNAcentral is "partial 16S ribosomal RNA". It matches the Rfam family "Bacterial small subunit ribosomal RNA", at positions 524 to 776 of the family's 1533-position model. The record is from RNAcentral.